This 19-nucleotide small nuclear RNA is filed under the name Arabidopsis thaliana (thale cress). RNAcentral's name for it is "snRNA_10482". Lineage: Eukaryota; Viridiplantae; Streptophyta; Magnoliopsida; Brassicales; Brassicaceae. The record is from RNAcentral.
UGGAAGUCGAAAUCCGCUA